Long non-coding RNA from Lemur catta (Ring-tailed lemur), 305 nucleotides. RefSeq lists it as uncharacterized. The transcript has 4 exons. The record is from RefSeq and is a predicted model, not a curated record. Lineage: Eukaryota; Metazoa; Chordata; Mammalia; Primates; Lemuridae.
GACGGAAGCGUUUCGCGCCAAGCGUUUCUGGAAAAGAAAAAGGAAAAGCCAGAGGGUCAGCAGAUGUUGAAGGAGGUAUAAUCAAGUCCAUACUCCAUUAUACAGAGAGCAAACCAAGACCUGGAGAAAUGAAGGGAUUGAUCAACGUCAUACAAAUGAGUGGUUGGAAACCUGGAGCAGAACUCCAUCAAGUUUUCUUUCUUUUGCCUCAAGCUGCCUUUAGUUUCUCAUGAUUUUAUGUGUAUCCAGUGCAAACAUUUGUUAGCAUUUGACAAGAAAUGAGCAUAAAUAAGCAUAUUUUGGGG